GAUGAACGCUAGCGGCAGGCCUAACGCAUGCAAGUCGAGGGGCAGCACAUAAAGUGGUUUACUACUUUUGGUGGCGACCGGCGGACGGGUGCGUAACGCGUAUGCAACCUGCCUCCAACAGGGGGAUAACGGAGAGAAAUUUCCACUAAUACCCCAUAAUAUCAGAAUCGGCAUCGGUUUUGGUUGAAAACUCCGGUGGUUGGAGAUGGGCAUGCGUUGUAUUAGAUAGUUGGUGAGGUAACGGCUCACCAAGUCAACGAUACAUAGGGGGACUGAGAGGUUAGCCCCCCACACUGGUACUGAGACACGGACCAGACUCCUACGGGAGGCAGCAGUGAGGAAUAUUGGUCAACGGGGGCAACCCUGAACCAGCCAUGCCGCGUGCAGGAAGACGGCUCUAUGAGUUGUAAACUGCUUUUACAAGGGGAUAAAUCGGUGUACGUGUACACCGUUGAAGGUACCUUGGGAAUAAGGAUCGGCUAACUCCGUGCCAGCCGCCGCGGUAA
RNAcentral lists this ribosomal RNA (506 nucleotides) under uncultured bacterium. RNAcentral's name for it is "partial 16S ribosomal RNA". It matches the Rfam family "Bacterial small subunit ribosomal RNA", at positions 28 to 523 of the family's 1533-position model. The record is from RNAcentral.